Molecule: long non-coding RNA, 1088 nt
Organism: Aethalodelphis obliquidens (Pacific white-sided dolphin)
Lineage: Eukaryota; Metazoa; Chordata; Mammalia; Artiodactyla; Delphinidae
Exons: 2
Source: RefSeq, a predicted model, not a curated record
UAACCAAAUAUGGUGUACUAUAGAUUAUACCAAGAGGUCAAUUCUUAUCUCUUCUAUUCCCAUCAUAGAUAGGUUUAUCACAUUUCAAAAGAACUGGGAUAUAUGGAAACUAGCUCUAACUUAUUCCAAUACACCUGUUAUAACUUGUGCUGUUUGGUUCUAUUAACAUCGGUAAUUCUUCCAAAGGAGGAUAUAAUAUUAGCUGUGUUAAUUGUAUUUUUAGCAGUUGUAUGUUCCCUUCUGCAGGAAUGCAAUCUGUGCUUAUACUAAAGCAACCCAUAUAUGUUAUGGUGCCUGUACAUCUGAGAGAACCUUGGUAUGAAGAUACUGGAGUACAGGCAUGGGUGGAACUCUCUAAAGCCUUGCAGAGAAGGAGACGCUUUCUUGGGUGGCUAAUAGUAAGUUUACUUGCCUCGGCUGCUCUGUCUGCUACCGCGGCUACUGCCGGUCUUGCUCUUUCACAGAGUAUUAAUCAUGCUCACUUUGCUAAUCGGUUAUCUCAAAAUACCAGUCUUGCUUUAUCUUUACAAAGUCACAUAGAUUUACAGAUUAGUAACAAGUUAGAUGAAUUUAAAAACGCAAUUUUGGGGAUUGGAGAUCAGAUGGCAGCAUUAAAAUUGAGGAUGCGUUUAGCUUGUCAUGCAACGUAUACAUGGAUUUGUGUUACUCCUUAAAAGUACAAUGACUGUAUUUGGGAAUGGGAAAAAGUAAAAAUGCAUCUGCUGAGUGUUUGGUCAGAUAAUAAUAUUAGCCUUGAUCUUAAGAAAUUAAAUGCUGAAAUUCAGGAUAUACAAAAUGCACAUCUUGAUUUUAUUUCACCAGAAGGUGUAAUUCAAACUUUACUGGAUCAUUUAAAGUGGUUAAACCCUCAGUCUUGGAUUACUGGAAGGUUGUCAGGAUUUAUUACCCUGGCCAUAAUUUGCCUAUUGUUGAUAAUAAUCUUCUCAUGUCUGUUUCAUAUCCUCAUGCAACAGUAUACUACUCUAGGCACUAAACUACAUGGAAUUAUUUUGCAGCAAAAGUUAAAAAAUAAAAAAGGGGGACCUGUGGGAAGCAGUCAGCCUUGAGAGCAGGCUACAGACAUGCCA